GACUCUCAGCCGGAUAUCUCGACGCUCGCAACGCCCGAACGUUGGAAGAUUCGUACUUGGUGAAUUGCAGAAUCCCGUGACCAGCGAGUCUUUGAACGCAACUGCGCCGAAACUUACAAGCCUACUGCACGUAUAUUGGGUCA
RNAcentral lists this ribosomal RNA (143 nucleotides) under Ipomoea nil (Japanese morning glory). RNAcentral's name for it is "5.8S ribosomal RNA". It matches the Rfam family "5.8S ribosomal RNA". From Rfam's summary of the family: 5.8S ribosomal RNA (5.8S rRNA) is a component of the large subunit of the eukaryotic ribosome. It is transcribed by RNA polymerase I as part of the 45S precursor that also contains 18S and 28S rRNA. Lineage: Eukaryota; Viridiplantae; Streptophyta; Magnoliopsida; Solanales; Convolvulaceae. The record is from Rfam by way of RNAcentral.